RNAcentral lists this ribosomal RNA (565 nucleotides) under Daedalea confragosa. RNAcentral's name for it is "SSU rRNA". It matches the Rfam family "Eukaryotic small subunit ribosomal RNA", at positions 603 to 1171 of the family's 1831-position model. The record is from RNAcentral. Lineage: Eukaryota; Fungi; Basidiomycota; Agaricomycetes; Polyporales; Fomitopsidaceae.
AUUAAAGUUGUUGCAGUUAAAAAGCUCGUAGUUGAACUUCAGACCUGGCCGGGCGGUCUGCCUCACGGUAUGUACUGUCUGGCUGGGUCUUACCUCUUGGUGAGCCGGCAUGCCCUUCACUGGGUGUGUCGGGGAACCAGGACUUUUACCUUGAGAAAAUUAGAGUGUUCAAAGCAGGCCUAUGCCCGAAUACAUUAGCAUGGAAUAAUAAAAUAGGACGUGCGGUUCUAUUUUGUUGGUUUCUAGAGUCGCCGUAAUGAUUAAUAGGGAUAGUUGGGGGCAUUAGUAUUCAGUUGCUAGAGGUGAAAUUCUUGGAUUUACUGAAGACUAACUACUGCGAAAGCAUUUGCCAAGGAUGUUUUCAUUAAUCAAGAACGAAGGUUAGGGGAUCGAAAACGAUCAGAUACCGUUGUAGUCUUAACAGUAAACUAUGCCGACUAGGGAUCGGGCGAUCUCAAUACUUAUGUGUCGCUCGGCACCUUACGAGAAAUACAAAGUCUUUGGGUUCUGGGGGGAGUAUGGUCGCAAGGCUGAAACUUAAAGGAAUUGACGGAAGNCCACCACC